GUCUAUGGCCAUGCCACCCUGAACAUACCCGAUCCCGUCUGAUCUCGGAAGCUAAGCAGGUUUGGGCCUGGUUAGUACUUGGAUGGGAGACCACCUAGGAAGACCAGGUGUUAUAGCUG
Molecule: ribosomal RNA, 119 nt
Filed under: Pteropus alecto (black flying fox)
Lineage: Eukaryota; Metazoa; Chordata; Mammalia; Chiroptera; Pteropodidae
Source: RNAcentral